CAGUCGCCGCGGGAAUACAGAGGGUGCAAGCGUUAAUCGGAAUUACUGGGCGUAAAGCGCGCGUAGGUGGUUUGUUAAGUUGGAUGUGAAAUCCCCGGGCUCGACCUGGGAACUGCAUUCAAAACUGACUGACUAGAGUAUGGUAGAGGGUGGUGGAAUUUCCUGUGUAGCGGUGAAAUGCGUAGAUAUAGGAAGGAACACCAGUGGCGAAGGCGACCACCUGGACUAAUACUGACACUGAGGUGCGAGAGCGUGGGGAGCAAACAGGAUUAGAGACCCCUGUAGUCCCUGUCUCUUAUAC
RNAcentral lists this ribosomal RNA (301 nucleotides) under uncultured bacterium. Its description in RNAcentral is "partial 16S ribosomal RNA". It matches the Rfam family "Bacterial small subunit ribosomal RNA", at positions 509 to 807 of the family's 1533-position model. The record is from RNAcentral.